CCCUUAGACGUUCUGGGCCGCACGCGCGCUACACUGACCAGUGCAACAAGCAUCCGUCCUUGGCCGACAGGCUCGGGCAAUCUUUGAACGCUGGUCGUGAUGGGGAUAGACUUUUGCAAUUUUUGGUCUUCAACGAGGAAUUCCUAGUAAACGCAAGUCAUCAACUUGCAUUGAUUACGUCCCUGCCCUUUGUACACACCACCCGUCGCACCUACCGAUUGAAUGGUCCGGUGAAAUCUCGGGACGGCGGCUUGGUCGCUUGCGUCCGACUGCUGAAACUUGAUUAAACCAUAUCAUUUAGAGGAAGGUGAAGUCGUAACA
This 321-nucleotide ribosomal RNA is filed under the name uncultured eukaryote. RNAcentral's name for it is "partial 18S ribosomal RNA". It matches the Rfam family "Eukaryotic small subunit ribosomal RNA", at positions 1470 to 1796 of the family's 1831-position model. The record is from RNAcentral.